This 255-nucleotide ribosomal RNA is filed under the name uncultured bacterium. RNAcentral's name for it is "partial 16S ribosomal RNA". It matches the Rfam family "Bacterial small subunit ribosomal RNA", at positions 526 to 779 of the family's 1533-position model. The record is from RNAcentral.
CGUAGGGGCAAGCGUUGUCCGGAAUCAUUGGGCGUAAAGGGCGCGUAGGCGGAUAAUUAAGUCUGGUGUGAAAACUCAGGGCUUAACCCUGAGAGUGCAUCGGAAACUGGUUAUCUUGAGGACAGGAGAGGAAAGUGGAAUUCCACGUGUAGCGGUGAAAUGCGUAGAUAUGUGGAGGAACACCAGUGGCGAAGGCGACUUUCUGGACUGUAACUGACGCUGAGGCGCGAAAGACGUGGGGGAGCAAACAGGAUU